Molecule: ribosomal RNA, 572 nt
Filed under: uncultured Glomeromycotina
Lineage: Eukaryota; Fungi; Glomeromycota
Description: SSU rRNA
Rfam family: Eukaryotic small subunit ribosomal RNA
Source: RNAcentral
UUGGAGGGCAAGUCUGGUGCCAGCAGCCGCGGUAAUUCCAGCUCCAAUAGCGUAUAUUAAAGUUGUUGCAGUUAAAAAGCUCGUAGUUGAAUUUCGGGAUUGACGUGAUGGUCAUGCCUUAAGGGGUAUGAACUGUCACAGUUGAUUUCUCACCUUCUGGAGAAACUUGAUGUCCUUUAUUGGGUGUCAUGCGGAUCCAGGACCUUUACCUUGAAAAAAUUAGAGUGUUUAAAGCAGGCAUUUUUGCUCGAAUACAUUAGCAUGGAAUAAUAGAAUAGGACGGCAUGGUUCUAUUUUGUUGGUUUCUAGGAUCACCGUAAUGAUUAAUAGGGAUGGUUGGGGGCAUUAGUAUUCAAUUGUCAGAGGUGAAAUUCUUGGAUUUAUUGAAGACUAACUACUGCGAAAGCAUUUGCCAAGGAUGUUUCCAUUAAUCAAGAACGAAAGUUAGGGGAUCGAAGACGAUCAGAUACCGUCGUAGUCUUAACCAUAAACUAUGCCGACUAGGAAUCAGACGAUGUUAAUUUUUUAAUGACUCGUUUGGCACCUUACGGGAAACCAAAGUGUUUGGGUUC